RNAcentral lists this ribosomal RNA (460 nucleotides) under Streptococcus sanguinis. RNAcentral describes it as "bacterial SSU rRNA". It matches the Rfam family "Bacterial small subunit ribosomal RNA", at positions 28 to 472 of the family's 1533-position model. The record is from RNAcentral. Lineage: Bacteria; Bacillati; Bacillota; Bacilli; Lactobacillales; Streptococcaceae.
GACGAACGCUGGCGGCGUGCCUAAUACAUGCAAGUAGAACGCUGAAGAGAGGAGCUUGCUCUUCUUGGAUGAGUUGCGAACGGGUGAGUAACGCGUAGGUAACCUGCCUGGUAGCGGGGGAUAACUAUUGGAAACGAUAGCUAAUACCGCAUGAAAUUGCUUAUCGCAUGAUAAUUAAUUGAAAGAUGCAAUUGCAUCACUACCAGAUGGACCUGCGUUGUAUUAGCUAGUUGGUGAGGUAACGGCUCACCAAGGCGACGAUACAUAGCCGACCUGAGAGGGUGAUCGGCCACACUGGGACUGAGACACGGCCCAGACUCCUACGGGAGGCAGCAGUAGGGAAUCUUCGGCAAUGGGGGGAACCCUGACCGAGCAACGCCGCGUGAGUGAAGAAGGUUUUCGGAUCGUAAAGCUCUGUUGUAAGAGAAGAACGGGUGUGAGAGUGGAAAGUUCACACUGG